RNAcentral lists this ribosomal RNA (471 nucleotides) under uncultured bacterium. Its description in RNAcentral is "partial 16S ribosomal RNA". It matches the Rfam family "Bacterial small subunit ribosomal RNA", at positions 28 to 506 of the family's 1533-position model. The record is from RNAcentral.
GAUGAACGCUGGCGGCGUGCCUAAUACAUGCAAGUCGAGCGAACAGAUGAGGAGCUUGCUCCUCUGACGUUAGCGGCGGAGGGGUGAGUAAUACGUGGAUAACCUACCUAUAAGACUUGGAUAACUUCGGGAAACCGGAGCUCAUACCGGAUAAUAUAUUGAACCGCAUGGUUCAAUAGUGAAAGACGAUUUUGCUGUCACUUAAAGCUGGAUCCGCGCCGCAUUAGCUAGGUGGUAAGGUAACGGCUCACCAAGGCAACGAUGAGUAGCCGGCCUGGGAGGAUGAUCAGCAUCACUGGGACGGAGACACGGCCGAGACUCCGACGGGAGGCAGCAGUGGGGAAUAUUGGACAAGGGGGGCAACACUGAGCCAGCCAUGCUGGGUGAGUGAUGAAGGCGGGAGGGUUGUAAAUCACUUUUGACCGGGAAGAUAAUGCCGGUACCGGGAGAAGAAGCCCCGGCUAAUUUCGU